ACCUACUGGUUCCUGGACCAAGCUACGCUUCCACCCUGGGGCAUGUCUGCCUUCUCCAUCGUACACUGCUUCGCGUGGUGUAUACGGGGCGUCACGAAGCCGGUACCACAGCAUGAGGACUUAUACAUGGCGACGCAGAAUGGGAUCGGCGCUUUCUGCUCC
Triticum aestivum (bread wheat) is the source of this 162-nucleotide long non-coding RNA. RefSeq lists it as uncharacterized. The record is from RefSeq and is a predicted model, not a curated record. Lineage: Eukaryota; Viridiplantae; Streptophyta; Magnoliopsida; Poales; Poaceae. The transcript is spliced from 3 exons.